Molecule: small RNA, 127 nt
Filed under: Marmota monax (woodchuck)
Lineage: Eukaryota; Metazoa; Chordata; Mammalia; Rodentia; Sciuridae
Source: RNAcentral
GCCAGGUGCAGUGGCACACACCUGUAAUCCCAGCAGCUUGGGAGGCUGAGGCAGGAGGAUCACGAGUUCAAAGGCAGCCUCAGAAAUUUAGGGAGGCUCUGAGCAACUCAGUGAGAACCUGUCUCUA